This 275-nucleotide long non-coding RNA is filed under the name Nicotiana benthamiana. RNAcentral's name for it is "long non-coding RNA (NBEN_LNC040860)". The record is from RNAcentral. Lineage: Eukaryota; Viridiplantae; Streptophyta; Magnoliopsida; Solanales; Solanaceae.
GGAAAUUUGGGUCUAUUUUUUAUUGGUCUUAUUGAUUAGGCCCAAUUUGAAAUAAGCCUAAACAUUGAUUCCAUACCAUGUUCCCCAUUUGACCUAACCUAAUCCCUACCUCUACCUAAUAAUACCUACACCCAAAAUAAAGACAAAAACAAAAAUACAAAGCAGCAAAAGAGCCUAGACAAAAGCAAAAACGACAUCCUUCACCUUCAUUGGUGGUAGAUCCCAAAAAAAAUAAUCUGAACCCUAGCCAUGAGACUUUUUCUUCUUCCUAAAAC